This 468-nucleotide ribosomal RNA is filed under the name uncultured bacterium. RNAcentral's name for it is "partial 16S ribosomal RNA". It matches the Rfam family "Bacterial small subunit ribosomal RNA", at positions 28 to 507 of the family's 1533-position model. The record is from RNAcentral.
GACGAACGCUGGCGGCGUGCUUAACACAUGCAAGUCGAACGGAAAGGCCCUGCUUUUGUGGGGUUCUCGAGUGGCGAACGUGUGAGUAACACGUGAGUAUCCUGCCCUUUACUUUGUGAUAACUUCAGGAAACUGGUGCUAAUACCUGAUAGGAGCUCCUGCUGCAUGGUGGUGGUUGGAAAGUUUCGGCGGUUGUGGAUGUACUCGCGGGUUAUCAGCUUGUUGGUGGGGUAGUGGCUUACCAAGGCUUUGGCGGGUAGCCGGCAUGAGAAGGUGACCGGCGAAAUAGGGACUGAGAGAAGGCACAGACUGGUAAGGGAGGAAGAAGGGGGGAAUAUUGAACCAUGGGAGGAAGGAUGAUGAAGAAAGGCCGCGUGCGGGAAGACGGGCUAAGGGUUGAAAAAGGAUAGAGAGUGAGAAGAAGGGUGAGUGAAGGUAAUGGGUAAAGAAGGACCGGCUAACUACGUG